UGGGGGAUAUUGCACAAUGGGGGAAACCCUGAUGCAGCGACGCCGCGUGAGGGAAGACGGUCUUCGGAUUGUAAACCUCUGUCUUAGGGGAAGAAACAAAUGACGGUACCCUAAGAGGAAGCCACGGCUAACUACGUGCCAGCAGCCGCGGUAAUACGUAGGUGGCGAGCGUUGUCCGGAAUUACUGGGUGUAAAGGGAGUGUAGGCGGGAGUGCAAGUUAAAUGUUAAAUCUAUCGGCUCAACCGGUAGCUGCGUUUAAAACUGCACAUCUUGAGUGGAGUAGAGGCAGAUGGAAUUCCUAGUGUAGCGGUGAAAUGCGUAGAUAUUAGGAGGAACACCAGUGGCGAAGGCGAUCUGCUGGGCUUUAACUGACGCUGAGGCUCGAAAGCAUGGGGAGCAAACA
This is a ribosomal RNA of 404 nucleotides. It matches the Rfam family "Bacterial small subunit ribosomal RNA", at positions 355 to 774 of the family's 1533-position model.